RNAcentral lists this ribosomal RNA (598 nucleotides) under Haemophilus haemolyticus. RNAcentral describes it as "bacterial SSU rRNA". It matches the Rfam family "Bacterial small subunit ribosomal RNA", at positions 88 to 682 of the family's 1533-position model. Lineage: Bacteria; Pseudomonadati; Pseudomonadota; Gammaproteobacteria; Pasteurellales; Pasteurellaceae. The record is from RNAcentral.
CUGACGAGUGGCGGACGGGUGAGUAAUGCUUGGGAAUCUGGCUUAUGGAGGGGGAUAACGACGGGAAACUGUCGCUAAUACCGCGUAGUAUCGAGAGAUGAAAGUGCGGGACCGCAAGGCCGCAUGCCAUGAGAUGAGCCCAAGUGGGAUUAGGUAGUUGGUGGGGUAAAGGCCUACCAAGCCUGCGAUCUCUAGCUGGUCUGAGAGGAUGGCCAGCCACACUGGAACUGAGACACGGUCCAGACUCCUACGGGAGGCAGCAGUGGGGAAUAUUGCGCAAUGGGGGGAACCCUGACGCAGCCAUGCCGCGUGAAUGAAGAAGGCCUUCGGGUUGUAAAGUUCUUUCGGUAUUGAGGAAGGAGUGUAUGUUAAUAGCAUGCAUUAUUGACGUUAAAUACAGAAGAAGCACCGGCUAACUCCGUGCCAGCAGCCGCGGUAAUACGGAGGGUGCGAGCGUUAAUCGGAAUAACUGGGCGUAAAGGGCACGCAGGCGGUUAUUUAAGUGAGGUGUGAAAGCCCCGGGCUUAACCUGGGAAUUGCAUUUCAGACUGGGUAACUAGAGUACUUUAGGGAGGGGUAGAAUUCCACGUGUAGCGGU